GGAGAAAUUAAUACUAAAUUAUUGACAGAAAAGUGUGAAACUUGUAAUUUUCAAGUAUUAAAUAAAGCAUAUUGUAAGGUCCUAUAUAGUUGAAUGACAGCAAUGCUGUUAUAUUAUUUUGUGUCUGUGUAAUACAUUUUCUAUUACAAAGUGUAUAAAAUCUUGAUAUUUAUCAUAUAUGUGCCGUGGGGAAAGCAAGGGAAGAACCCAUUAUGAAUUAACACUUGUUUCUUUCUAGACAAGUAUUAUUAUAAUCUUUACAUCUAGCUUUUUAAAACCUUAACACCAAGGAAUAUAUUUAAUCUUAAUUGUUUGUUAUUACACCAACCUGCUUCAAUAAAAUAGUCUUUUGAUAAAACAAAACCAAGUUAAACUUCUAGCUAGGCUAUAUUUAUAAAAAACACUUGCUUUGGGAAAAAAGACUUGGAAUAAUUCAUCAUAAGUAAAGUUUUUUUAAAUUUAAAUUAAAUUUUUAAUAUCUUCCCCAUCACUCUUCAAGGGACACAACUUUCGGAACUUG
Molecule: long non-coding RNA, 520 nt
Filed under: Mytilus galloprovincialis (Mediterranean mussel)
Lineage: Eukaryota; Metazoa; Mollusca; Bivalvia; Mytilida; Mytilidae
Source: RNAcentral